Molecule: ribosomal RNA, 429 nt
Filed under: uncultured Acidobacteriota bacterium
Lineage: Bacteria; Pseudomonadati; Acidobacteriota
Description: bacterial SSU rRNA
Rfam family: Bacterial small subunit ribosomal RNA
Source: RNAcentral
UGGGGAAUUUUUCGCAAUGGGGGAAACCCUGACGAAGCAACGCCGCGUGGAGGAUGAAGGCCUUCGGGUCGUAAACUCCUGUCGACUGGGAAGAAUGCACUCGACCUAAUACGUCGCGGUGUUGACUGUACCGGUGGAGGAAGCCACGGCUAACUCUGUGCCAGCAGCCGCGGUAAUACAGAGGUGGCAAGCGUUGUUCGGAAUUACUGGGCGUAAAGGGCGCGUAGGCGGCCCGCCAAGUCCCGUGUGAAAGCCCUCGGCUCAACCGAGGAACGGCGCGGGAAACUAGCAGGCUUGAGUUCGGGAGAGGGAAGCGGAAUUCCGGGUGUAGCGGUGAAAUGCGCAGAUAUCCGGAGGAACACCGGUGGCGAAGGCGGCUUCCUGGACCGACACUGACGCUGAGGCGCGAAAGCUAGGGGAGCAAACGGG